GACGAACGCUGGCGGCGUGCUUAACACAUGCAAGUCGAACGGAAAGGCCCUGCUUUUGUGGGGUGCUCGAGUGGCGAACGGGUGAGUAACACGUGAGUAACCUUCCCUUUACUUUGGGAUAACUUCAGGAAACUGGGGCUAAUACCGGAUAGGAGCUCCUGCUGCAUGGUGGGGGUUGGAACGUUUCGGCGGUUGGGGAUGGACUCGCGGCUUAUCAGCUUGUUGGUGGGGUAGUGGCUUACCAAGGCUUUGACGGGUAGCCGGCCUGAGAGGGUGACCGGCCACAUUGGGACUGAGAUACGGCCCAGACUCCUACGGGAGGCAGCAGUGGGGAAUAUUGCACAAUGGGCGGAAGCCUGAUGCAGCAACGCCGCGUGCGGGAUGACGGCCUUCGGGUUGUAAACCGCUUUCGCCUGUGACGAAGCGUGAGUGACGGUAAUGGGUAAAGAAGCACCGGCUAACUACGUG
RNAcentral lists this ribosomal RNA (468 nucleotides) under uncultured bacterium. Its description in RNAcentral is "partial 16S ribosomal RNA". It matches the Rfam family "Bacterial small subunit ribosomal RNA", at positions 28 to 507 of the family's 1533-position model. The record is from RNAcentral.